Molecule: ribosomal RNA, 270 nt
Filed under: uncultured Enterobacteriaceae bacterium
Lineage: Bacteria; Pseudomonadati; Pseudomonadota; Gammaproteobacteria; Enterobacterales; Enterobacteriaceae
Description: partial 16S ribosomal RNA
Rfam family: Bacterial small subunit ribosomal RNA
Source: RNAcentral
GUUGCCAGCGAGUAAUGUCGGGGAACUCAAAGGAGACUGCCGGUGAUAAACCGGAGGAAGGUGGGGAUGACGUCAAGUCAUCAUGGCCCUUACGAGUAGGGCUACACACGUGCUACAAUGGCAUAUACAAAGAGAAGCGAACUCGCGAGAGCAAGCGGACCUCAUAAGGUAUGUCGUAGUCCGGAUUGGAGUCUGCAACUCGACUCCAUGAAGUCGGAAUCGCUAGUAAUCGUGGAUCAGAAUGCCACGGUGAAUACGUUCCCGGGCCUU